Phacochoerus africanus (Common warthog) is the source of this 2065-nucleotide long non-coding RNA. RefSeq lists it as uncharacterized. The record is from RefSeq and is a predicted model, not a curated record. NCBI's taxonomy places the organism in Eukaryota, Metazoa, Chordata, Mammalia, Artiodactyla, Suidae. The transcript is spliced from 3 exons.
CCCUGGUUACCACUUGAAAUCUCUUCUGAGAGCUGGCUAGAAGGGGGAACCGUGCAUGGAUUAACCAGAUCUGACACCAUCGUUUUCCUUCAACUGCAGGUCCUUCUGGAAGACAAGGACAGAGGGGACAAGCUUGAAGAGAAUGGAGUCAUUGUUCCUUCAGAUCCUUCCUGAACAACGCGCUUGAGAAGGAAGAGAUCACUUCCAGUGCUAGACGUGAAAGCCCAAAGACAAGGACUUACACGAGAGUUACAAGACACAGGUCCCAGGCAGUGAGUUCAUAUUCGAUGCCUACGAUGUCCUUGGGAGAAUGCAAGCCCUGAGCAUCCAGGAAUGAACACAAUAGACCCUCUGCCCUUAGGGAGCUCACAAUCUUCCUGGUCUUCUUCUCUGGUGAGUCUUCCCUUUGCCCUUCCAUGUAUCUGUCAUCUUGCAAUAGGCACACAGAUGAAAUCUUCACCCACUACUCACACCAUCAGCUACUACCAAUCACAGCCUUCCUUUCCUGCCUCUGACCUCCUGUACCCCUUAUUUCUAGGGUGACCAAACCGGAACCCUUCUGAGUGAAAGGGAGGGCUAUUAAUAAUUAUGCUGAGAUAACAGAUACAGACAGGGCAAGCUAAGACAUGCAUGGACAGCACUCUGUCCAACACAAUUGGCUUCUUCCUCCUCUUCUCCUAUUCUCUGCCUUCAAUAUCCUACCCUCUAACAUUGAAAGAACACUCUUAACUCUGGCCAGAUCCCAGCACCCUCGUAAAUUACGCAACGCUGAGCCCUUGGCCUUCCAAGGCACCUCAGAAAUCAAAAUGAUUGUUAAUCACCCCAUUAUAUUUUUGAACGCUAAAUGGUGUGAAAAACAUUCCCUUUGUCUACGACUCUGCCCUCCUCGGGUCUGGCAGAGAGCUCGUUUUGAUCUUAUGAAACACAACACAGAAGAUAUUGCACCUCAUUUGCUUUCACUGUUGAAGGGAAAUCUAAUUUCCUUUUUAAUUAGUGGGAUGAACGUGUGAAAACAUUCAUCUCCUCCACGCGGUGCUCCUCGGUGUCAUGUAAACAAUGGGCACAAGAAAAUAAAUCGCAGUGGCUUCUUUUCUCCACGGUGCCCAGGGAGGGCGCCCCGGCAGCGGGCCAUGUGUAAAAUGAUCUUUUCUCGAUAGCUGGCCACACUCUGAGAAAAACAUCUCUUCUCUUUAGGGAACACUUCCAACCAAAGUGGGAUGAGUGUCCUGUGACAAAAAAACAAAGCAAACCUUGGCCAUUCACCCAGAGAGGAACUUGGUGGCCUCAGAGAGGAGAUAGGAGGAGGGAGGAGGAUGUGUGUGUGGGGGGGUUGAUAUUAAUUCAUCCAAGAGCCGAGCGUUGAGCGCUUUUGUUUAGUUGAAUCAACUUGAAGGCCUCCACGCGCACAAUGGGGAGGUUUGAUUUUCAGGGGGAAAAUGUGGUACAGAGCCACGGGCUAUAAGGAUAUGAUUUCGAAAGCAGAGGGUUCCUUCCAGAUGCAAAGGCACGCAGGCAUCAUCAUCGCCCUCCUUUUAUGCACAGAUCUUUCCAAUAAUCACCUCGUGGGGUGUUUACAUGACAACUGCCUCACGGAGCCAUCCCACGUCUAGGUUUGCCUUUGGGGAACCAAUUAUGUGCUGCUGGCCUAUCUGUACCUCCUCUCCCCACCCCCACCCCAGCUCCCCUGCUUCAUUGUCUGUUUUCAGCUGGUAUUCUUUUCUGGUUGAAUGGCCGCAAACACAAGCUGUCUAUCUCCUCCAGCUCCUGGAGUUCGGCUUGGCAGAUGAAAAUAACCUUGGUAAAGGAGCUGUUCAGAACACAAGGCCCUGCUCGCGGCCACCAAGGGCAGCAGAGGCCCAAGUAGAAAGUCAAAUCUGCCAUUGCCCCAAGGAGCACCCAUUGUAUAAACAAAACAGACUUUCACUUCUACCACCACUUCCUCCCAAGAAAAGCAAGAAACCGGUUUUAGACUUCUGACUUCUUUUCAAAAUGGAAACAACUUUGAGUUUUCCCCUCAACCCACAGAAUGCAAUGAACAAUAAAAUAAAACACUGGUUUGCAGACA